RNA transcript from Salvia splendens (bonfire salvia), 1943 nucleotides. RefSeq lists it as uncharacterized. The transcript is spliced from 5 exons. NCBI's taxonomy places the organism in Eukaryota, Viridiplantae, Streptophyta, Magnoliopsida, Lamiales, Lamiaceae. The record is from RefSeq and is a predicted model, not a curated record.
CACUUUCCUUUCUCCCAUCUUGAUUUCCCCCAAACAUGCAUCUCAAAUCCCUAAUUGAAACGGCGCCUUCUUUCCAUCUCUCACCUUCUCCGGCGACUUCAUGCCUGGAGUGACUCCGACCUCUCUUCGUUCCCGGCGAGGACGCCGUUUCGAAUGGGUCGCCGAAUCUCAUGUUUCACAAUGACGGCGCACUUGGUGUCUCCGUCUGCCCUUUCACGAUGGCUUCGGUGUUGCCGUCGGAGCCUCGCUGGUGUGCUCUUCGCGAGGGAGUCACUCCGACGCCGAUGACCCGCUUCAGCUCCCUCCGUCCGUGUUCGCAAAUGCCGUUGCUGUUCCAUUCGUCUAUCUCUCUCUCUCGACGAAGGCGUCGGUCUGAAAUCGCCCGUCGACGUCCGCUGUUGCUCUGCAGUGUUCGUGGGGCUGCCCUCGAUGCCCCGUCGUCGUUCGGUCAGAGCCGAUCAACGCUUCUCCAAGCUAAGUUCUAUCAUUUUCUUUAUUUCGUUGAUUUGUGUCUGAAAACUUAAUCGUUCAUCUACUGAAAAGAGCUUGAUAGUUGGCCAAAAAUGUUGUUCUUUUAAUUACAGAGGCUUGCUGUUGUUGUGGGGCUUUUAUCAUCAUGCCUCUAAGUUCCGACCUAGUUAGGCUGCCUAAAGCUUACUAGUGCUCUAUCGGUGUUAUGCUCAUGCUUAGCUAUGAGAUGAUGGUGUUAUGAGCAUGCUAGUUUCACCUAUGAAUUUGUGAACUAUAUGCUGUAAAACUGAGCUAUUGGAGGAUUACCUGUGUGAGUUGUUAUGGCUGUUGUCUCUAGCUCGGCUCCUCCCUUCUCCUUAGCUUGUAGUGUGCUAUUGAUUGUGGUAAUGAAGGAGGAAGGACUGAGGGGCUAUUUAUAAUGGUUUGCCUAACUGAAAGCCUGAGGAAGGCUGGUGUACUUGGCUGAAAAGGGAAAUCUCAGGCUGAGCAGCUGGCUACUCUGUCUGCAGCUCUGCAGAGUUCGUCCCUUCUCCCUUGGCCUCUUUCUAACUGAUUUUGGUGGCAUAUGGGGGGUCUACUCGUGAGUUUAUGGUGGUUGCCACAGAGCUCCAGUCUCUGGCGGUUCUCUAUGUUGCGAUCCAACUGAUUUCUCUGAUGUGGUCUUGCAGGUACGAACUGGGCAAGGUUGUUUGGCUGGGUGGAGUGCACCUGCCGUUGCGCAGUGAACUGGCUGGACAACCUGCUGGAAGGGCAGGCCAUUUCUGGUGGUGGCAGCCUUCAUCCUUGCCUAUUUUGAGAAAAAGGGCUGCUAAGCAUGGCUCUCGCCCUGGGUGUACCAAUUCGUCGGGCCGUUUGAGCUGGGCCGAGACCAGGCCUGAGAUACAUCUUGUGACUCGUAAUUGUGUGUAUCUGCUGGCAUUCAAAUUGCAAGGAAUAUGGAAAUCCCACUUGUGAAUGAUUUGGGGUACCACAAGCAAUUUAUCGGGUGCUUGCAGAUCUCUGAAGUCGUUGAUGGUAUGAAAGAUAUCAUGGCAUUUAGUCAGAUCACAAAAAUGGGAGCAAUUGAGUGCUUGAACAAGUAUUCGCGAGGAAGGAACCUCCAUCACCAAGGACUGCUACUACCUGUAGACGUCACGACAACCAGAAUUCAUCACGGCUAGAAAGCUUAGGGUUGGCUUUCCUCGCCUCAACUGGCUUGGCUUCCCCAAGCUUGCUCAGGUCCCAAUCUUCUGAACGCAGUCGUCAAUCCGUAGUCGACAAGAUGUUUCUCGCAGGGGAAAGAGCGUCCACCAAAAAAUUUGCAAUGAGCAAGAAACUGUGUUGCAGUGAGAGCUCUAAAGCCGCUACUGCACAGGUAAUUUUUCUGUAAUGCUUCGGCUGGUAGACCGUGUUUUACUUAUUUACAGCAAAAACUGUGACUGCUUGUUAUCUUUUGAGAUAGUUGGAAAAUAGAUAUAGUAGUUAAGGAGCCU